GGCUGAGCGAAGGAAAACUCUCCAGGACCGCGACGGGUACAACGACUCUAUCAGCCGGCCUUGCCCGCACAUCUCCUCUAUCGAGAGGUCAAGUGUCCACGAAGCCACCCGUUGUGACCAAAGAAGGAGGUAACGGAGAUGUGGCUUUGGAGAUUCGGAGUCUUUAAUGGAUCUGUCUUCACUUUCUAGGAGGUCCUGUCUCCCCUCCUGAUCAAAUGGAGUCCUGUCAGGUCUGAGAAAGACACAGCUGCCUUGGGACAGGCCAACCCACACCAAUGCUUCCCCCGAACAGUGCUUGCCCAGACAGCUUUGGCAUUCUGGCAUAUACUUUGGGACUGGAAGUUGUUAUUGUUUCCCUGGCAACCACCAUAGAUGAAGAGUUGGCACGUGCCGUUUUUCUUAUUAUACCACCAACGAGGGAAGUAAGCCAUGCAGUAGCCAGAGUCUUUUGGUAGGCUGCAAAUAUCUGCGGAGGAACCCCAGAGUUGAGAGCUCAAGAGUGCACAACCCGAAACAAAAUAAUGAGAGCCACCUUCCCCUUCUCCUUCCCCUUGGAGCAAACUCUUUCUCCCCCUCCCGCUCCAGUGGUUCAACACCUGAAACAUUUCGUGUACUUGUGGAAGAUGCUACGGAGGAUAUCCGCGUCCCUGGAGGUAGGCAUCCUUGUGGAUGGUUAUGGUCUGAACAUGAAAUGUCCCCUCACAGGCUUACAUUCCGAAGACUUGUCACCAGCUGGGGGUGACAUUUUUGGAGGCUGUGGGACCUGUUAGGAGGCGGAGCCUGGGGUUGGGGAUUUAGCUCAGCGGUAGAGUGCUUACCUAGCUAGCGCAAGGCCCUGGGUUCGGUCCCCAGCUCCGGGUCCCCAGCUCCG
RNAcentral lists this long non-coding RNA (871 nucleotides) under Rattus norvegicus (Norway rat). Its description in RNAcentral is "long non-coding RNA NONRATT018872". The record is from RNAcentral. Lineage: Eukaryota; Metazoa; Chordata; Mammalia; Rodentia; Muridae.